GUCGAGGAUCUUCGGCAAUGGGCGCAAGCCUGACCGAGCGACGCCGCGUGCGCGAUGAAGGCCUUCGGGUUGUAAAGCGCUGUCGAGGGGGCGGAAAGCCGGGUAACCGGUCUGACUUAUCCCUGGAGGAAGCACGGGCUAAGUUCGUGCCAGCAGCCGCGGUAAGACGAACCGUGCGAACGUUGUUCGGAAUCACUGGGCUUAAAGGGCGCGUAGGCGGCUAACCAAGUCAGGAGUGAAAUCUUUCGGCUCAACCGGAAAAGUGCUCUUGAUACUGGUUAGCUAGAGGGAGAUAGGGGCAUGUGGAACUUCCGGUGGAGCGGUGAAAUGCGUUGAUAUCGGAAGGAACGCCGGUGGCGAAAGCGACGUGCUGGACCUCUUCUGACGCUGAGGCGCGAAAGCCAGGGGAGCGAACGGGAUUAGAAACCCCUGUAGUCC
Molecule: ribosomal RNA, 438 nt
Filed under: uncultured bacterium
Lineage: Bacteria
Description: bacterial SSU rRNA
Rfam family: Bacterial small subunit ribosomal RNA
Source: RNAcentral